UGAAAGGGAAGCCCUAACUACUCCAGUA
RNAcentral lists this non-coding RNA (28 nucleotides) under Rattus norvegicus (Norway rat). The record is from RNAcentral. Lineage: Eukaryota; Metazoa; Chordata; Mammalia; Rodentia; Muridae.